RNAcentral lists this long non-coding RNA (570 nucleotides) under Sus scrofa (pig). RNAcentral describes it as "lncRNA (ENSSSCG00070018170.1)". Lineage: Eukaryota; Metazoa; Chordata; Mammalia; Artiodactyla; Suidae. The record is from RNAcentral.
GCCAGCCUACGCCAGAGCCACAGCAAUGUGUAAUCCAAGCCACGUCUGUGACCCACACCACAGCUCAUGGCAACGCCGGAUCAUUAACCCACUGAGCCAGGGCAGGGAUCGAACCCGCGACCUCAUGGUUCCUAGUCAGAUUCGUUAACCACUGUGCCACGACGGGAACUCCAGAAAUGGAGCAACUAUUUAGCUGAUUUUUCUCUUGGCUUCUCUACAGGAGUGAAGUUUUCAUUGAGGACAACAUCCCGAAUGAAACACAGAAGCAAGCUAUUGCUACAGUGGCUCGAGGUCAUGACAUCCCAGAGUAAGGACAAGAGACAGAAAGGCUACCCUGCGGCGAAGCGUAAGCCUCUGGGAAAAGAGAACAGCUGUGAGAGAGAAGGAAACUGUACCCAGUAGACGCAUAUGGAGAAGGUGCCUAGAGGGGAACCUGCAGUACAUCCCAGCGCCAAUGAUUUAUAAAAACUCAAGGGGUAUUAAAGACCUUACUGAAAACCGGAAAACACAAUCGAGUCACAGAAUCACAUGCGGAGAAUUUUGCUGCAGCCUUAGGAGCAGUGAGAGGCC